UGAACGCUGGCGGCAGGCCUAACACAUGCAAGUCGAGCGGUAGCACAGAGAGCUUGCUCUCGGGUGACGAGCGGCGGACGGGUGAGUAAUGUCUGGGAAACUGCCUGAUGGAGGGGGAUAACUACUGGAAACGGUAGCUAAUACCGCAUAACGUCGCAAGACCAAAGUGGGGGACCUUCGGGCCUCUUGCCAUCAGAUGUGCCCAGAUGGGAUUAGCUAGUAGGUGGGGUAAUGGCUCACCUAGGCGACGAUCCCUAGCUGGUCUGAGAGGAUGACCAGCCACACUGGAACUGAGACACGGUCCAGACUCCUACGGGAGGCAGCAGUGGGGAAUAUUGCACAAUGGGCGCAAGCCUGAUGCAGCCAUGCCGCGUGUAUGAAGAAGGCCUUCGGGUUGUAAAGUACUUUCAGCGAGGAGGAAGGCGUUAAGGUUAAUAACCUUGGCGAUUGACGUUACUCGCAGAAGAAGCACCGGCUAACUCCGUGCCAGCAGCCGCGGUAAUACGGAGGGUGCAAGCGUUAAUCGGAAUUACUGGGCGUAAAGCGCACGCAGGCGGUCUGUCAAGUCGGAUGUGAAAUCCCCGGGCUCAACCUGGGAACUGCAUUCGAAACUGGCAGGCUAGAGUCUUGUAGAGGGGGUAGAAUUCCAGUGUAGCGGUGAAAUGCGUAGAGAUCUGGAGAAUACCGGUG
RNAcentral lists this ribosomal RNA (690 nucleotides) under Klebsiella aerogenes. RNAcentral's name for it is "bacterial SSU rRNA". It matches the Rfam family "Bacterial small subunit ribosomal RNA", at positions 30 to 714 of the family's 1533-position model. The record is from RNAcentral. Lineage: Bacteria; Pseudomonadati; Pseudomonadota; Gammaproteobacteria; Enterobacterales; Enterobacteriaceae.